UGGGUUUGACAUGCACCAGACGCGUCUAGAGAUAGGCGUUCCCUUGUGGUUGGUGUGCAGGUGGUGCAUGGCUGUCGUCAGCUCGUGUCGUGAGAUGUUGGGUUAAGUCCCGCAACGAGCGCAACCCUUGUUCCAUGUUGCCAGCACGUAAUGGUGGGGACUCAUGGGAGACUGCCGGGGUCAACUCGGAGGAAGGUGGGGAUGACGUCAAGUCAUCAUGCCCCUUAUGU
This 230-nucleotide ribosomal RNA is filed under the name uncultured bacterium. Its description in RNAcentral is "partial 16S ribosomal RNA". It matches the Rfam family "Bacterial small subunit ribosomal RNA", at positions 976 to 1207 of the family's 1533-position model. The record is from RNAcentral.